GCCAGCAUGGCAUAGUGGUUUGAGUGUUGGACUAGGACUCAGGAGAGCAGGGUUCAAAUCCCAGCUCAGCCU
RNAcentral lists this transfer RNA (72 nucleotides) under Phrynosoma platyrhinos (Desert horned lizard). RNAcentral's name for it is "tRNA-OTHER". The record is from RNAcentral. Lineage: Eukaryota; Metazoa; Chordata; Lepidosauria; Squamata; Phrynosomatidae.